Molecule: ribosomal RNA, 423 nt
Filed under: uncultured bacterium
Lineage: Bacteria
Description: bacterial SSU rRNA
Rfam family: Bacterial small subunit ribosomal RNA
Source: RNAcentral
AAGACCUUGCACUUUUGGAGCGGCCGAUGUCUGAUUAGCUAGUUGGUGGGGUAAUGGCCUACCAAAGCGUCGAUCAGUAGCUGGUCUGAGAGGACGGCCAGCCACACUGGGACUGAGACACGGCCCAGACUCCUACGGGAGGCAGCAGUGGGGAAUUUUGGACAAUGGGCGCAAGCCUGAUCCAGCCAUGCCGCGUGAGUGAAGAAGGCCUUCGGGUUGUAAGGCUCUUUCAGCCGGGAAGAAAGGGUUGCGAUUAAUAAUCGCAAUUUAUGACGGUACCGGAAGAAGAAGCACCGGCUAACUACGUGCCAGCAGCCGCGGUAAUACGUAGGGUGCGAGCGUUAAUCGGAAUUACUGGGCGUAAAGGGUGCGCAGGCGGUUUUGUAAGUCAGAUGUGAAAUCCCCGGGCUUAACCUGGGAACU